AACCAUAGAAACCUGCGGAGUACCUGCGGAGGGAUCAUUACAGAGUUGCAAAACUCCCUAAACCAUUGUGAACGUUACCUAAACCGUUGCUUCGGCGGGCGGCCCGGGUCCUUCCCGGCGCCCCUCGGCCCUCGCGGGCGCCCGCCGGAGGUAAACCAAACUAUUGCAUUGUAUGGCCUCUCUGAGUCUUCUGUACUGAAUAAGUCAAAACUUUCAACAAUGGAUCUCAGAUCGGAAGAG
This 240-nucleotide unclassified non-coding RNA is filed under the name soil metagenome. RNAcentral describes it as "partial contains 5.8S ribosomal RNA, internal transcribed spacer 2, and large subunit ribosomal RNA". The record is from RNAcentral.